GAUGAACGCUGGCGGCGUGCUUAACACAUGCAAGUCGAACGGAAAGGCCCAAGCUUGCUUGGGUACUCGAGUGGCGAACGGGUGAGUAACACGUGGGUGAUCUGCCCUGCACUUCGGGAUAAGCCUGGGAAACUGGGUCUAAUACCGGAUAGGACCACUUCGUAGUUGUUGUGGUGGAAAGUUUUUUCGGUGUGGGAUGAGCUCGCGGCCUAUCAGCUUGUUGGUGGGGUAAUGGCCUACCAAGGCGUCGACGGGUAGCCGGCCUGAGAGGGUGUACGGCCACAUUAGGACGGAGAUGCGGACCCUACUCCUACGGGAAGCAGCGGUGAGGAAUAUUGCACAAUGGGCGGAAGCCUGAUGCAGCGACGCGGCGUGGAGGAUGGCGGCCUUCGGGUAGUAAGCUCCUUUCGCCAAAGACGAGUUUAGGACGGUAUUUGGAGAAGAAGCACCGGCUAACUACGUG
RNAcentral lists this ribosomal RNA (463 nucleotides) under uncultured bacterium. RNAcentral's name for it is "partial 16S ribosomal RNA". It matches the Rfam family "Bacterial small subunit ribosomal RNA", at positions 28 to 507 of the family's 1533-position model. The record is from RNAcentral.